Molecule: ribosomal RNA, 509 nt
Filed under: uncultured bacterium
Lineage: Bacteria
Description: bacterial SSU rRNA
Rfam family: Bacterial small subunit ribosomal RNA
Source: RNAcentral
AGAGUUUGAUCCUGGCUCAGAGUGAACGCUGGCGGCAGGCCUAAUACAUGCAAGUCGAACGGCAGCACAGCAGAGCUUGCUCUGUGGGUGGCGAGUGGCGGACGGGUGAGGAAUACGUGGGAAUCUGCCCAGUCGUGGGGGAUAACGUAGGGAAACUUACGCUAAUACCGCAUGCGCCCUUCGGGGGAAAGCCGGGGACCUUCGGGCCUGGCGCGAUUGGAUGAGCCCACGUCGGAUUAGCUAGUUGGCGGGGUAAAGGCCACCAAGGCGACGAUCCGUAGCUGGUCUGAGAGGAUGAUCAGCCACACUGGAACUGAGACACGGUCCAGACUCCUACGGGAGGCAGCAGUAGGGAAUAUUGGACAAUGGGCGCAAGCCUGAUCCAGCCAUGCCGCGUGAGUGAAGAAGGCCCUCGGGUUGUAAAGCUCUUUUGUCCGGAAAGAAAAGCGCCGGGUUAAUACCCUGGUGUCCCGACGGUACCGGAAGAAUAAGCACCGGCUAACUUCGUG